RNAcentral lists this ribosomal RNA (907 nucleotides) under Microscypha sp. KUS-F52625. RNAcentral describes it as "eukaryotic LSU rRNA". It matches the Rfam family "Eukaryotic large subunit ribosomal RNA", at positions 27 to 953 of the family's 3401-position model. The record is from RNAcentral. Lineage: Eukaryota; Fungi; Ascomycota; Leotiomycetes; Helotiales; Hamatocanthoscyphaceae.
GUGGAACUAGCAUAUCAAUAAGCGGAGGAAAAGAAACCAACAGGGAUUGCCUCAGUAACGGCGAGUGAAGCGGCAACAGCUCAAAUUUGAAAUCUGGUCCUUUCAGGGCCCGAGUUGUAAUUUGUAGAAGAUGCUUCGAGCGUGGCACCGGUCUAAGUUCCUUGGAACAGGACGUCAUAGAGGGUGAGAAUCCCGUAUGCGACUGGCCGCCUUCGUUCAUGUGAAGCUCUUUCGACGAGUCGAGUUGUUUGGGAAUGCAGCUCAAAAUGGGUGGUAUAUUUCAUCUAAAGCUAAAUAUUGGCCAGAGACCGAUAGCGCACAAGUAGAGUGAUCGAAAGAUGAAAAGCACUUUGGAAAGAGAGUUAAACAGUACGUGAAAUUGUUGAAAGGGAAGCGCUUGCAACCAGACUUGCACGCUGCCGAUCAUCUGGGGUUCUCUCCAGUGCACUCGGUUGCGUUCAGGCCAGCAUCGGUUUGGGUGGUUGGAUAAAGGCCUUGGGAAUGUAGCUUCUUUCGGGGAGUGUUAUAGCCCUCGGUGCAAUGCAGCCUACCCGGACCGAGGACCGCGCUUCGGCUAGGAUGCUGGCGUAAUGGUUGUAAGCGACCCGUCUUGAAACACGGACCAAGGAGUCUAACAUCUAUGCGAGUGUUUGGGUGUCAAACCCAUACGCGUAAUUAACGUGAACGGAGGUAAGAACCCUUAAGGGUGCAUUAUCGACCGAUCCUGAUGUCUUCGGAUGGAUUUGAGUAAGAGCAUAGCUGUUGGGACCCGAAAGAUGGUGAACUAUGCCUGAAUAGGGUGAAGCCAGAGGAAACUCUGGUGGAGGCUCGCAGCGGUUCUGACGUGCAAAUCGAUCGUCAAAUUUGGGUAUAGGGGCGAAAGACUAAUCGAACCAUCUAGUAGCUG